AGAGGAGAGGGUGGGGCUGUAGCACCAGGUCAGGGAACACGGAAGGCGCAGGGUUCCAGGGAUCCCGCGGGUCCUCGCGGCUUGGCUUGACCGGCUUCCUCCACCUACGCCCCUCUCCUACACAAGUCCGGCCCUCGGCGCUCCUGCCGAAGCAGCAGGCGCCUCGGACUCUGCGCGGCUCCCGCCGGUCACUCACCUAUGAUGGUCCGCGCCGCCGAGACGAUGACCACGGGAUCUGAGCCUGCAUUCAUCUUGCUUCUCCUGCCGCCGUCUGCCCUGCUCUGCCUGCAAGCUAGGCAAAGCUCCUCCUCGCAGCCCACAGGCCUGCCGCGGGCGGGACCUGAGCUCAGGACUGGAAUCCCACGGGCGAGAAUCUCGAGUGCCAGCCCGCCCCGCCGCGGGUCUCAGCACGGUUCUGAUGGGUCCUUUUGCUCUCGGCGGCUUCGGGAGGUCCUGUGCGUUUCGCCUGGCGCCAGUCAUUCCCUCGCGUGAGGGGCUUGCUAGGAGCGUCUCGGUGCGAGCCCCCUGCCUUCUAAGAUCAACUCUGGCUGUGAACGGGUGAGGACGCCGAGAGCGUCUUAGCGUCACACAGUGAAAAGUUCCUUUGGUUGACGUUUGGACAGUGAAAGGAGCAUGUAACAAGUGGGGUCAGUUUUGUUUAAAACCCUUUCUGACUUCUCAGCCUCUUACUGGGCAAAGUUCAUAAUUUUUCUGAGCUUUCUAGGGUUUCCAGGCAAGCUUAUGAGGGGCCACCAUUACAGCAACUUGUUGGGAACACCUGGAUAGUGGAACAAGAAAGCUUUGUCACAAAGUCAUGAAGGGGAAAACUGUUGACGGACCUGGAGAAUCUUCCUGAAGAAUUUUAAAGUAGAUUGAAAGAAUCAUUAAAUCCUGGAAACCUACAUUAAGACUUUGCAGAGAUAUGCGGAUGGGUCAGAUAAAUCAGAGAAGAGUAUAGGCCCCAGAGGUGGGGCAAUAGAGAAGGAAAAACAUUGCAUAACAGUGCAAUUUCAGGAGAAAUCUUUAGGGUCUGGAAUAGUGGUGAAAUCAGCUGUCUACCCUGCUAAGAACUCAGCAGCACACUUAAGUCUCUUUUCAGUUGUCUUCAAUGUGUUUCCUGUCCCCUAACAUAUCUGAGUCCAAGGAAUUCAAGGAAUGCCUCCCGUGGCUUUUGCUCUAUUCUAUCCCAUUUUCCCCUUACUCCCUGGCCACUUCUGAGUCUUUGUGGGCUUACUCUCACAUCCCCUUAACAUGUUCCCCAAGGCUGCUACUUUGCACCAGCUCCCUGGGUAAUACCAGUCAUUCCUACGGCAUCAAUCACCACCUGUAUACUGACAAGUCUGAAAUCCUUACAUCUAACCUCGUCUCCUAAGCUGACUGACCCUCUUCAUUUAAAUUCUUACAAGCACAUCAGGUCGGGCACCUUGGCUCACACCUGUAAUCCCAGCACUUUGGGAGGCCGAGGAGGGCGGAUCAUUUGAGGUCAGCAGUUUGAGACCAGCCUGGCCAACAUGGUGAUAUCCCGUUUCUACCAUAAAAUAGAAAAAUUAGCCGGGCGUGGUGCCAUGCGCCUGUAAUCCCAGCUACUGGGGAGGCUGACAUGGGAAAAUCGCUUGAACCUAGGAGGCAGAGGUUUCAGUGAGCCGAGAUCACACCACUGCACUCCAGCCUGAGCGACAGAGAGAAACUGUCUCAAAUAAAUAAAAUUUCCUAUAAGCACAACAAAUUUGACAUACUGAAACCAAACUCUUCCAGCCUGUUUCUUCUGUAAUCUCAGUGAGCAGUGAAACUAUCUUCUGUUAACCAAACCAGAAAUUUACCUCUGAAACUCCCCCUAAACAUCACUUCUUCCAGAAAAACCUUCCAAUCUCCUGCAUUUGGUGCAGCAUCUUACCCCUAACUUCCUCUUUCAACUUACCAUGUAAUUCCUAGUUUAUCUGUCUCCUCUACUGACUACAUAAGCUUUGCAAGAUGAUCCUGGUACACUGCUUUAUGCACAGCUCCUAGCACAUUAUAGGCAGUUAUGAAUGAACACCAAUAUUCUUUAUGGCCAGUGCCUAGCACAUUUGAAUGAGUAUGAAUAUAUUCUUCUGGAGACAAGGGAUAUAUAGUUUCCUGCCUGAAGGCUCGAUCUAGAGUAAGUUUAGGAGCCAAUCUUGAGAAGGUAAUUGCAUGCUUCUGCUGAGUGGCCAAACAGAAUCUGUCCCCUGAGGAGUCCUCAUUAUAGCUACUCAUAUGAUUACCUACUCAUAUGAGACAGACGGGGACUAAGAAUAAUGAAUGAAGGAAAGAAGAGGAAUUUUUUUUUUUUUUUGAGACGGAGUCUCGCUCUGUCACCCAGGCUGGAGUGCAGUGGCGCUAUCUCGGCUCACCACAACCUCCACCUCCCAGGUUCAAGCGAUUCUUCUGCCUCAGACUCCUGAGUAGCUGGGAUUACAGGCCCGUGCCACCAUGCCCAGCUAAUUUUUGUAUUUUUAGUAAAGACGGGGUUUCACCAUGUUAGGCUGAUCUCGAACUCCUGACCUUGUGAUCUGCCCACCUCGGCCUCCCAAAGUGCUGGGAUUACAGGCGUGAGCCACCGCGCCCCAGCCAGCUGGAAGAUAAUUUUUAAAAUUACGUCUUGGCCGGCCGCGGUGGCUCAUGCCUGUAAUCCCAGCACUUUGGGAGGCUGAGGCGGGCAGAUCACCUGAGGUCGGGAGUUCAAGACCUGCCUGACCAACAUGCAGAAACUCUGUCUCUACUAAAAAUACAAAAUUAGCUGGGCGUGAUGCCACAUGCCUGUAAAUCCCAGCUACUAGGGAGGCUAAGGCAGGAGAAUUGCUUGAACCUGGGAGGCGGAGGUUGUGGUGGGUCAAGAUUGUGCCAUUGUACUCCAGCCUGGGCAACAAGAGCGAAACUCCAUCUCAAAAAUAAAAUAAAAUAAAAUAAAAUUACAUCUAGAUCUCAAAUCAUAAACUACCUGGACUGGUGAGCAGGGUGAGUGGGCAGGAAGCCACAAAAAUCUCCAAGUGCUUACUCAUGAGGAGGCACCAUUACAGCAGUGCUAUGGAGCCAGUUUAUCCUGAAGGGGCCUUCUCAGCAUCUUCCCCCGCUGGAAGAUGCAAUCAUUCUUGGUUAAGUUUCAUAAAGAGUUGCAGGAGUCCAAGCCAGGUCUUUGCUACAGGCUGGAUUCACCAACCUACUAUGUAGCAAAUUCCUCCUUGGUCUCCAUGAGGGGAACAGUGAAUCACCAAAGUGGAAUUGUCAUAGGAUGGAGGUCAGCAGUGUGCUCCUUACCACUAGGGGCUAGCUCAACACUCCCUCAGCACAGCCACCCCAUGAUGGGUCCAGAUCAGUUAAUGACAUUACCUGGGAUUAUGAAAGUGUUCACUAUAACCACAGGGAUAGGUGAACUCCCAAGACAGUGACGUAGAGCAGCAGGCAAUGAUUUGAGUACAGGGCAUAACUACUCAUGAAAGAGGGAACAUCUGAGAAAGAAAGUUGUCAGAAGGAAUGGCUUUACAUUGUUUUGCAAAAGUGUCUCAAAAACUGGAGUAGUCAGUUGUAUCCAAUACACCUGAGGAGCCAAGGAAACUGACAUCUAUUGCGCUCUCUGUAUGAGGACUCCUACCAGGAACCAAACUGGGGCACCAAUCAGGGGGCACUGUGAUCUUUAGACUUCCCAGCCUCCAAAAACAGUGAGGAAUGCGCGUGUAAAGCCAGUCUGUGUGUUUUUUUUUUUUCACAGCAGUCCAAGCUAAGACAGCAGUGAGUGCUCUUACAGGGGAGAAAAACAAAACAAAAUAUCGAGCCUCGAGGAUACAUUUGCCCAAAUCAGUUAAGUGUAAUACCAGGAUUCAAACCAAUUAGAUGCAGAAGCCACUCUAUCACCUCUCUUAUCACAGGCAUACCAGAAAAUAAAGCAUCCAAUUCCAGAAAUGAGAAAUACUGACUCUAUGUACCACAGAAUAAGUGCUCUGAGUUAUUCAUCAAGGCAGACUCAACAGAAACAUGAAAAUGUCACAUUAACAGGUCAAUAUUAAAUUCAGUCAUAAAAUUGUAUCACUGGUUGAAAAAUUAAUUUCCUAUCACAAACUCUUGAUUACGUUACACCAACAGGACAGAGAAAUUACAUUUUUGUUUAAAUUGGUCAAGUUGAAGGAUGUACAUAACAAAAGCCAAACACAGUAUCUGAUAUAUCAAACACCAAAAUGUUUAAUCACAUGCAAAUUAAAAAUUGUAUAGGAUUUUUUACUCACUUGAGCAGACUGUAGAAAAGGUUAAUCAAGGUUGGGCGCGGUGGCUCACACCUGUAAUCCCAGCACUUUGGGAGGCCGAGGUGGGUGGAUCACAAGGUCAGGAGUUCGAGACCAGCCUGGCCAACACAGUGAAACCCCAUCUCUUCUGAAAAUACAAAAAUAAGCUGGGCGUGGUGGCGCACACCUGUAAUCCCAGCUACUCAGGAGUCUGAGGCAGGAGAAUUGCUUGAAUCCAGGAGGUGGAGGUUGCAGUGAGCCACGAUAGUGCCACUGCACUCCAGCCUGGGUGGCAGAGCGAGAUUCUCGAAAAAAAAAAAAAAGAGAAAAAGAAAAAGAAAAGGUUAAUCAAGAGACAGUGCAGUAUUUAACAUACUGCUGAAGACCAGAUAUACCUGUAUCAGCUAAACAAGCAAAAGCAGCAAUUACUUUCAAAUAAGUUGUACCUCAGUUUUCGAGUAUUAUAACUCCACUCCCAAGGUUCCUUGAUUGUAUUACAAGUUAUGUCUAAAACAAUACUUUGCUUUUAGCAGAAAUGGAAUUUCAUUUCAACCAUAUAUGAAAGCUACACAUUUGAAGGCCAUUCAAUAUCAUACUUUUAUACUUAAUUACCUCUGAGAAAAUGGAGCAAACUUUGACAUUCUUCCACCUUAAAAACAUUUUCUCCUACCUACAUUCUAACACCCCUUACUCAUAUAAUAUUACCAGAUAUGUUGUUAGUAAAAAUCAGUAGUACUGGCCAGCGUUUUAAAACAAACAUCACUGACUACAAAGAUACUCUACUUGAAAUCAGGUCACAAAAAACAAACCCUGCUUUUCAAUUAAAACUCAGAAAGGGCCAGGAGCUGUAGCUCACUCCUGCAAUCCCAACACGUUGGGAAGCCAAGGCAGAAGGAUCCCUUGGGGCCAGGAGUUUGAGGCCAGCCUGUGCAACAUAGCGAGGCCUUGUCUCUACUAAAAUUAAAAUAAAUGUAGCUGGGUGUGGUAGUAUAUGCCUAUAGUCUCAGGUACUCGGAAGCCUGAAGUGGGAGGAUCACUUGAGUCUAGGACUUUGAGGCUGCAGUGAGCCAUGACUGCACCACUGCACUUGAGCCUAAGUGACAAAGCAAGACCCUGUCUCAAUUUUAAAAAAAAAAAAAAAAAAAAAAAGCCUAAGAAAUAGAUGACUAUUUUCUUUAUACUUUUCUGUAUUUUAAAAUAUUUUGUAACAAUUAUAAGUCAAGAAAAAAUUUUAAGUGUAGCCCUGAACUCCAGCUCCAUUUUGCAAAAUAAGGCAUACAUUAAAAAUUGUGUGCAAAAUCAUAAUCGAUGCUUGGUCUUAAGUUUGACUGUUGUGGUACUUGAAGGAUAAUGAGUAGAAAUUCAGUGACUCAAUGAAAAUGACAAAUGCUAAACAUACACCCAAAACAAAACAAAAAAGCUAAUUAAGGAGUUACAAUAAAAAUCUUUAUUUAGGUUUGGUCAGUACAGGUAAGAUAUACUGGAGUCACAGAGCAAUAUGCAUUAACAGGAUACAACAGUUCAUAAAAACUGAGUAACUAUGCACACAAAUUUCUUAAACAGUCACCUAAAGAGAAAAUGCACAGAUGUAUGGUGGAAAAAACUGUAUCUAACACUGAAACUACUACAGGACUCCAUCAAUGAGUCCAACUUUUAGUGAUAAAAAACUACUGUACUGGGCAAACUUGGCAGUCAUAAACCCACAUCUACUCUAACAAGUCUGAAUGGUGCAUAAGUACAGUAACAGCAUGAGUACGAAUGCCCUUACACAGCACAGAUUCUAAACAGACAUAGAUUUAUACAGACGUCAUUGUGUUGUAUUUUAAGGAAAAAUUUCCAUUUACAAUUUCACAUUAACUCAUAUAAAAAUAACUUGACCCUACACAAAAUGUCCUUUUAGCAACAUUCAAAGUAAUUAACUGUUACAAUUUCCAAAGCGGCAGAAGUAUUGAAGCAAAGAAAAAAAAACAAAGAAAAGGAAAAAAAAAAACAAAGAAAAAAAACAACAAAAAAAACAAAA
Long non-coding RNA from Gorilla gorilla gorilla (western lowland gorilla), 6255 nucleotides. RefSeq lists it as uncharacterized. The record is from RefSeq and is a predicted model, not a curated record. The transcript has 2 exons. Lineage: Eukaryota; Metazoa; Chordata; Mammalia; Primates; Hominidae.